AAAGUACAAGAAGAAGAAGAAGAAGAACAAGAAGAAGAAGAAGAAGAAGAAGAAGAAGAGAAGAUGAGAAGAGGAAGAAGAAUAGAAGAAGAGGAGAAGUAGAAGAAAAAGAGGAGGAGAAGAAGAGGAGAAGAAAAGAAGAAGAAGAAGAAGAAGAAGAAGAAGAAGAGAAUAAGAGGAAGAAGAAGAGGAGGAGAAGAAGAAAUAGAAGAGAAAUAGAAUAAAAUAGAGGAUGAGAAGAAGAAAUAGGUUAGCUAGUGUGCUAGGUUAAAUUUGUUUUUUGUCAUUUAAUUG
Molecule: long non-coding RNA, 294 nt
Filed under: Hordeum vulgare
Lineage: Eukaryota; Viridiplantae; Streptophyta; Magnoliopsida; Poales; Poaceae
Description: long non-coding RNA (HVUL_LNC006207)
Source: RNAcentral